UGAAAAUGUGACUGAGGUCUGACCUUAGUUCCCAGUCAGCCAGACAAUUUACAGAGCAAAGAUGUUCAUUUAUCUUAACUUUCUAAUCUUUGGGUAUAUCUGCAAUACCUGCUCUGAGAUACUCCAAAAGACAAUGCCUGAGAAACAAACAGUAACCUUGAGCUGUAAUCACCCUGUGGGAAGUUGCGUAACAUGGAGCAGAGAAAUAGAUUGUAAGACAGUAGACAUUGUCACUAUUCAAGAUGGAGUUGAUGACAGAAAACACAUUUCUGAUCCAGGCAAACAUUAUGGCUCAAUAACAGACAAGUCAUUGGUUAUAGUGAGUUUGAAAGCCUCAGACUCUGGGACCUACUUCUGCAAUAUGCAACCAACAGUAUAUCUAAGAGUGACAUCAGACAAUGGCAAGAGUGUCCCUAUAACCAACUGUUCUGGAGAGAGAAGACCAAACACUAGACACAAUAAUACUAAGCAAGUGUUGGUUGGUGUCGUUUCUGGUUUUGGGGUGUUUCUGUUAAUGAGCAUCUUCAUCUGGAGAUAUUCCUCAAAAAGAAGAACAGUAAGGCCUGAAGUGGAAGGCAAGAACAUUGCAGACGACCACAUCUAUGCUGUCAUAAAGGAUCAUGGGGCCAGGCCGAGAGCAGAAUGCAGCACUCAGGUUCAGAGUGAGUCUAUAUAUCACCUGGCAGGUGUUCCAGGAACGAAGGGUGAAGGUACUCCUAAACAAAGUGAAUCCCCUUAUGUCAUGCUCCAUAUUCCGCAAACUGAUGUCACAACAGUGAGGGCAUAAACUCCUUGUCAAUAAAUCUACAGGAAAUUAUCAUGACGAGUCUUUGCAAGUCACUCUGAAUCAUUAAGACAUCACUUUGUUUUUUUCAAGGCUAUUUGAUAUUGGUGUAUGUUACGGAUACUGGUAUCCUGAGUGUGUAUCCUGUGUGUGUGUAUUUCUUUUCUCUCCUUCUCCCCUCACAGGUGGCAAUCAUCCUUCCCCAAUCAGAAGACACCUGCACCUUUUCCAUUAGCCUAUCACAGCCCCUUUCCCUUGGUUUAAAAACCCAGUCAGAAGCUCAAUCUAGCAGUCAUUCAAUCUCUCUCCUUGUAUGCAGAUCACGCUUUUGUUUUUGCCCAUACAUGUCACAUUUGUCCGGCACCUGAGUAUGGUUUUGUUAAAGUGUUGACUGUUUGUUUGAUGGUGGGAAAAGGGGGUACCAAGACAAGUCGCCCAUGGGCAUACAUAACCCGUAGGAAUACUUUGUCUAAGAACGAGUUAGAACUGGGCAGACCACCUGCUGUAUUUUAUUGGUUAGUUAGCUAGCUGUUAUUGAAGCAGGCUAGUCUAGCUUAGGGGUGUUUUUGGAUAUUUGUUUCUUUCCUUGGGUCCAGCUCAGCCCCUUUUUCCCCACACCCCAUUACUGUGUGUUUAAACAAUAAACCUAUAGUGUUUGACGGUA
This is a non-coding RNA of Salmo salar (Atlantic salmon), 1448 nucleotides long. NCBI's taxonomy places the organism in Eukaryota, Metazoa, Chordata, Actinopteri, Salmoniformes, Salmonidae. The record is from RefSeq and is a predicted model, not a curated record.